GACGAACUGUCCUAACGUUGUUCGGAAUCACUGGGCUUAAAGGGCGCGUAGGCGGUCGAUCAAGUCAGGGGUGAAAUCCUGCAGCUUAACUGUAGAAGUGCCUUUGAUACUGGUCGUCUCGAGGGAGGUAGGGGUGUGUGGAACUUCCAGUGGAGCGGUGAAAUGCGUUGAUAUCAUGAGGAAGACCAGUGGCGAAGGCGGGUCUCUGGACAGUUCCUGACACUGAGGCACGAAGGCCAGGGGAGCAAACGGG
RNAcentral lists this ribosomal RNA (253 nucleotides) under uncultured bacterium. RNAcentral describes it as "partial 16S ribosomal RNA". It matches the Rfam family "Bacterial small subunit ribosomal RNA", at positions 524 to 776 of the family's 1533-position model. The record is from RNAcentral.